This 466-nucleotide ribosomal RNA is filed under the name Deltentosteus collonianus (toothed goby). RNAcentral's name for it is "partial 12S ribosomal RNA". It matches the Rfam family "Bacterial small subunit ribosomal RNA", at positions 868 to 1533 of the family's 1533-position model. Lineage: Eukaryota; Metazoa; Chordata; Actinopteri; Gobiiformes; Gobiidae. The record is from RNAcentral.
CUUGCCAGGGAACUACGAGCCCUAGCUUAAAACCCAAAGGACUUGGCGGUGCUUUAGACCCCCCUAGAGGAGCCUGUUCUAGAACCGAUAACCCCCGUUAAACCUCACCCUCUCUUGUUCUCCCCGCCUAUAUACCGCCGUCGUCAGCUUACCCUGUGAAGGUUUAACAGUGAGCACAAUUGGCACAGCCCAAAACGUCAGGUCGAGGUGUAGCGUAUGAGAGGGGAAGAAAUGGGCUACAUUCGCUGAUUCAGUGAAAACGAACGAUGCCUUGAAAUACACAUCUGAAGGAGGAUUUAGCAGUAAGAGGAAAAUAGAGUGUCCCUCUGAAACCGGCCCUGAAGCGCGCACACACCGCCCGUCACUCUCCCCAAACACCAAUACACAACUAAAUAAACAAUUAUUAACACAAAGGGGAGGCAAGUCGUAACAUGGUAAGUGUACCGGAAGGUGCACUUGGAAAAAU